CCCGCUGAACUUAAGCAUAUCAAUAAGCGGAGGAAAAGAAACCAACAGGGAUUGCCUCAGUAACGGCGAGUGAAGCGGCAACAGCUCAAAUUUGAAAUCUGGCUCUUUUAGGGCCCGAGUUGUAAUUUGUAGAGGAUGCUUCGGUCUCGGCUCCGGUCUAAGUUCCUCGGAAGAGGACGUCCUGGAGAGUGAGAAUGCCUUCUGUGAUCGGUUGCCUUUACCAUGUGAAGCUCCAUCGACGAGGCGAGAUUGGUGGGCAUGCAGCUCUCAACGCGGAAUGGAUUUCUUACUAAGCCUAAAGCUGGUCUUAAACUAAAAACCGAUAGCGAACAAGUACCGUGAGGGAAAGAUGAUAAGCACUUUGGAAAGAGAGUUAAACAGUAUGUGAAAUUGUUGAAAGGGAAACGUUUGAAGUCAGUCGCGUCGGCCGAGACUCAGCCUUGCUUCCGCUCGGUGCACUUCUCGGUUGACGGGUCAGCAUCAAUUUCGACCGCCGGAUAAAGGUAGAGGGAACGUGACAUCUUUCGAGGUGUGUUAUAGCCCUUGAUUCGCAUACUGCGAUUGGGAUUGAGGAACUCAGCGCGCCUUUAUGGUCUGGGUAGCAACCCACGUAACUCGCUCAGGAUGCUGGCAUAAUGGCUUUAAGCGACCCGUCUUGAAACACGG
RNAcentral lists this ribosomal RNA (666 nucleotides) under uncultured fungus. RNAcentral describes it as "eukaryotic LSU rRNA". It matches the Rfam family "Eukaryotic large subunit ribosomal RNA", at positions 24 to 664 of the family's 3401-position model. Lineage: Eukaryota; Fungi. The record is from RNAcentral.